Molecule: non-coding RNA, 83 nt
Organism: Apaloderma vittatum (bar-tailed trogon)
Lineage: Eukaryota; Metazoa; Chordata; Aves; Trogoniformes; Trogonidae
Source: Rfam
GUGAAGAUUAGCUCAGUGGUUUGAGCGUGGUGCUGACAACAAUGACAACACCGAGGUCGCAGGUUCGAUUCCCGCUCGGUACC